This 1077-nucleotide long non-coding RNA is filed under the name Pan troglodytes (chimpanzee). RNAcentral describes it as "lincRNA". Lineage: Eukaryota; Metazoa; Chordata; Mammalia; Primates; Hominidae. The record is from RNAcentral.
GAACUUAAGCAGGAAAAGAAGAAAGCUGAAAACACACUGAGGAUUAUGGGAGAGGGGCAAGUGCAUGAAGCUUCUCAAUGACAUACAGACACUCUAAAAGCUCAAGAGAUCAAUUAUUCAACUUCAAGAACUGAAAUUUGAACACAGAUUUUGAGCUUCCAAAUCAGCUGCUAAUAUGGGAAAGAUUGAAAUCAGCAAGUUUCUGGCUGUAAGCUAAAAGAGGCUCUUGAAUCAUAUUUCCGCCUGCUUAGCAAAUUUCUCUUGCGACAAUUGGAUGUUAUUUGGGGUUCCAUACUAGCAGGAAGAAGUACAAGCAAAGCUAAGUCAUUUUGAGAAUAAAUAUUAUCUCUCUAUAUAUUUGUAAAUGUUAUUUUCUUUUUUUUUUGAGGUUUAUGAUUGAUCCUUGGCAUGUGUCCCCUUGUGUAUUGCUCUACUAAAAAUAGCCUAAAAAAGAAUUUUCCCCUCGAUGUGGAGCUUCUCUUUAAUUACAAUUCUACCUUCUCCUUCACUUCAGUAUCAGUCUUCAGAGAACUACCAUAACAAAGGAGUGGAUACAGAUAUACGCAAAAAAGUCUAUGAGAAAAUUAGUACAUUAAAUUUGUGAAAGCUCAUUUAAAGUAAUUUUCUACUAACAAUUUUAAUCAAAUGUAUUAAUCAUAUUUCUAUGCUUAGUGAUGUUAAAUAAAAAUUUAAAAGGUGGCAAUCAAUAAACAGAGAUAAAAGCUUCUCAAGAAUAAAUGAAAGGAAGUAAUAAAAAGACUCACUAAGCUGAAUUGCCUCCUAUCAACAGCAGCUGAUAAAAUAUUAAAAGAUUUGCCUUGUGUAAUGUCUCUGGAGAGCUGUCUUACUGAUGUACGAGGCCAUGAUUGACAACUUUGAGACUUUGCUGGAAGCGACAAAAGUAUAUCUAUAAUAUUAUGCUGAAUUGCAUAGGUCUUUCUUCUUAAAUGAGGCUAGAAAUAACAUACCACCAAGUGUUUGGCUUUUAGGAAAUUGAGCAUUUUCUUUAGUUCUAGCUGCAGUUUAAUUUCCUCAGAAUUAGACAUUAUGCGGUAUCUGGAACGUAAAAAAAAAAAA